This 253-nucleotide ribosomal RNA is filed under the name uncultured bacterium. Its description in RNAcentral is "partial 16S ribosomal RNA". It matches the Rfam family "Bacterial small subunit ribosomal RNA", at positions 524 to 776 of the family's 1533-position model. The record is from RNAcentral.
UACGAAGGGGGCUAGCGUUGUUCGGAAUUACUGGGCGUAAAGGGCGCGUAGGCGGCGCGGGAAGUCCGUGGUGAAAGCCCGAGGCUCAACUUCGGGUCGGCCAUGGAUACUCCUGGGCUUGAGCACUGUAGAGGCAGGUGGAAUUCCGGGUGUAGCGGUGGAAUGCGUAGAGAUCCGGAAGAACACCGGUGGCGAAGGCGGCCUGCUGGGCAGUAGCUGACGCUGAGGCGCGACAGCGUGGGGAGCAAACGGG